CCUACGGGUGGCAGCAGUGAGGAAUAUUGGUCAAUGGCCGGAAGGCUGAACCAGCCAAGUCGCGUGAGGGAUGACUGCCCUAUGGGUUGUAAACCUCUUUUAUAAGGGAAGAAUAAAUGCCACGUGUAGCAUGAUGCCUGUACCUUAUGAAUAAGCAUCGGCUAACUCCGUGCCAGCAGCCGCGGUAAUACGUAGGUGGCGAGCGUUAUCCGGAAUGAUUGGGCGUAAAGGGUGCGUAGGCGGCCUGUUAAGUCUGGGGUGAAAGUUACCGGCUCAACCGAAACAGGCAAUUGAAACUGGCGGGCUAGAGAGCAGGAGAGGGCGGUGGAACUCCAGGUGUAGCGGUAAAAUGCGUAGAUAUAUCGAAGAACACCAGUGGCGAAGGCAGCCGCCUAGCCUGUUACUGACGCUGAGGCACGAAAGCGUGGGGAGCAAAUAGGAUUAGAUACCCUAGUAGUC
RNAcentral lists this ribosomal RNA (459 nucleotides) under uncultured bacterium. Its description in RNAcentral is "partial 16S ribosomal RNA". It matches the Rfam family "Bacterial small subunit ribosomal RNA", at positions 338 to 795 of the family's 1533-position model. The record is from RNAcentral.